CAAUAGCGUAUAUUAACGUUGUUGCAGUUAAAAAGCUCGUAGUUGGAUUUCUGGAGGGAGCGUCGGCCCGUAUUUACGAGUGCGUGACGUCUCUGUCCAUCCUUGCGGGAAGGCACGGCAUUGAUUUGUUGUGUCGGAUCGCAUCAUUUACUGUGAAAAAAUUAGAGUGUUCAAAGCAGGCUUUCGCUUGAAUACAUUAGCAUGGAAUAAUGAGAUAGGACUUUGGUGCUAUUUUGUUGGUUGAGCCUAAAGUAAUGAUUAAUAGGGAUAGUUGGGGGCACCUGUAUUGCGUUGUCAGAGGUGAAAUUCUUGGAUUUACGCAAGACAAACAGCUGCGAAAGCGUCUGCCAAGGAUGUUUUCAUUA
Molecule: ribosomal RNA, 365 nt
Filed under: uncultured eukaryote
Lineage: Eukaryota
Description: partial 18S ribosomal RNA
Rfam family: Eukaryotic small subunit ribosomal RNA
Source: RNAcentral